RNAcentral lists this ribosomal RNA (508 nucleotides) under uncultured Bacteroidota bacterium. Its description in RNAcentral is "bacterial SSU rRNA". It matches the Rfam family "Bacterial small subunit ribosomal RNA", at positions 355 to 864 of the family's 1533-position model. The record is from RNAcentral. Lineage: Bacteria; Pseudomonadati; Bacteroidota.
UAGGGAAUAUUGGUCAAUGGGUGAGAGCCUGAACCAGCCAUGCCGCGUGUAGGAAGAAGGCCUUCUGGGUUGUAAACUGCUUUUGCCGGGGGAUAAAAUUCCCAUGCGUGGGAAAUUGAAGGUACCCGGUGAAUAAGCCACGGCUAACUACGUGCCAGCAGCCGCGGUAAUACGUAGGUGGCAAGCGUUGUCCGGACUUAUUGGGUUUAAAGGGUGCGUAGGCGGCCUAUUAAGUCAGUUCUGAAAUAUCCCGGCUUAACCGGGAGGGUGGGAUUGAUACUGAUGGGCUUGAGUGGAAUCGAGGUAGGCGGAAUUGACGGUGUAGCGGUGAAAUGCUUAGAUAUCGUCAAGAACACCGAUAGUGUAGACAGCUUACUAGACUUCAACUGACGCUGAGGCACGAAAGUGUGGGGAUCAAACAGGAUUAGAUACCCUGGUAGUCCACACUGUAAACGUUGAUUACUCGCUGUGUGCGAUAUACAGUACGCGGCUUAGCGAAAGCGAUAAG